GGGCUCACUUCGUCAGCACAUAUAGUAAAAUUGGAACAAUGCAGAGAAGAUUAGCAUGUCCCCUGCGCAAGGAUGACACUGAAAUUCGUGAAGUAUUCCAUAUUUUU
This is a small nuclear RNA of Jaculus jaculus (lesser Egyptian jerboa), 107 nucleotides long. Lineage: Eukaryota; Metazoa; Chordata; Mammalia; Rodentia; Dipodidae. The record is from Ensembl.